CCCGCCACACACCCUGGCAACCGGAUUUUAAACCAAUGUCUACUCCUGUGUAUGCGUUCUUCCCAGGAGUUGUGGUCCUACCAGUCUGUCUCUGCUCUUUCCUGUCUACAGCUCUUAUCAUUUCUGCUCCUCCCUUCUAACUGGUUCUGAUCUGGUUCAGGGUGCUGGUCCCUGAGCACUUGGACCGGCCCCUGAAAUCAAUACUCGUGGUUCCGCGUGGGAACCCACCCCUGAUCCGCCCUCUCCGGGCUGAGGUGGCUACUGGGGCUGCGGCCGUUUCCGGGACUUCGAGUUGCUGCUGCACAGCUUUCUACCUUGCCGGACUGCCCCUAGUCAACUUCUGCGAGACUGACCUAGAGACCGCAUCCUGCAAGUCAUAAGUGGAACUAUUUGUAAGCAGACUGGGUCCACUGAAAUCUGCCUAUGAAUAUAAUAGGAGCAUACAAGAGUUGGAAGUCUGUGACUGUGGAAGAAUGUUUCAACAUAGAACUGAAGGAUGGACCAACUGAUAAUUCAAUGAUUGGAGUUAUGAGAAAGCACACAGAGUGGAAGAAGAAGCCCAAGAGAAGUUUGGUUAGAAGCUGUUUACAGAGAUGUGUUCAGGUCCCAAGGAAUAGAAUGUUGCCAUCAGUCUUCCUGGGUCAAGGAAUGCAAAUUGUGAUGAUGACAUUUAUUACUUUAUAAUUGUCUUUGCUGACCUCUUCAUUAUGAAUCUAAUUCUUUGGGUGGAAGAAUCAUUAGCUGCCAUCUCCUUUGAUACUCUGAUAAGUAUCUUUGCAAUAUGAUUUGGGAUUUUAGUAUCACAGACAUUUUUGGUGCAUACUUUGAUUUUUUUGUGGGGGGAGUUCCUGGGUAUUGAACCUAGGGGUGCUUAACCACUGAGCCACAUUCCUAGCCUUUUUAUAUUUUAUUUAGAGACAAGGUCUUGCUGCAUUGCUUAGGGCCUCACUAAGUUGCUGAGGCUGGCUUUGAUCUCAUAAUCCUCCUGACUCAGCCUCCUGAGCUGCUGGGAUUACAGAUGUCCAUGUCACCCAACCAUAUCCUGUGGCAGAUUCCUGAACAGAGCUUCUUCACAAAACCAUUUCUUGGCAUUGUAAUUGGUGGCAUUUUAUCCUUUGGCUGUAUUUUUAUUGAACUUUUUCAUUAAGAAAAGUAUUUGUGGCCUUCCAUGGGCAGUUUCAUUUAUGAUUCCUCUGCCAAAAUCAUUUUGAAGGCCAUUGAGUGGGUCCUCAUGUGUACUGAGCUGUAAGUAAUGGUUUUCUGUCUUUUUCCUUUCUGUCAACUGUUAGUUCUGGUGUCAGGAUGCCUGCUCCUAUACCUUUCCUCUUUGUUACUUUUAAUCUCUUAUAAUUCAAGAAUUCUAAUAACAAAAUAGUUAGAAAUGCACUUAAGUGAAUAAAUAAUGCUCUUUGAUUGAAGUGCAAUGGCUUUAGUACCCCAGCUUUGUAAUGACUCUUUCAGUUGUUCUGCAUUCUUUUUUUAAGAUUUCCUGAUUCUUGACUGCAUUCUGGUUCUGGGAACUGGCCAAUUGGGGUGUUACCAUGGAGGGAUUUUUGGAGAUGGACAAAGGCAUCAUGAAGUAAAAUGCAAUAGCCAACUGUGUGUUUUUGUAACACUUUUGUCAAACAAAACUGUCAAGUCUUCAAAAAUCAGGUUUAAUCAUGUUCAUUAAGUACUCACUUUUUAAAUAGCAUUAUGACAAAUUUGUUUGAAAGAUAAACAAUAAAAUCUGUUACCUUGUCAGCAACUAAAUAUUUAACAUGCUGCAGAAUAGAUUACAGUAACCAUAUUUUCCAGAUGUUUUUUGAUGAGAAAGUAAUUUUAAAGCGAAAACUAAAAGGUUCUUUCAACGAAUUUUCAUUUCAGUGAAGAGCACUGUGUACAACCUAUAUAUAUUUAUACAAAAGACUGUUGUGUACAACUUUGUAUAUAUUUACUAUCUAUAGUGAUAACUGUUCCCAACCAUAUACACCAUUCUCACACCCAAGUAUAUAUUUUAUGUGGUACUUUAAAAUCAAAUUUUAGCUCUAUAGUAGUGAAAGGAAUUACCUCAUUCUUUCAACAUUUGACCAAAAUAUAAUCCACACAGAGAUUUUUUUUAAAAUAUGCAUAUUAAAAAGUAUAUUUAAUAGAAUUAUGUGUACUGUGCUAUGAAGACAUUUGGAAAGGCUGCAUGUCAAUAGAUAUUCAAAGACAAAGUGGCGGGGCUGGAGAUGUGGCUCAAGCGGUAGCGCGCUCGCCUGGCAUGCGUGCGGCCCGGGUUCGAUCCUCAGCACCACAUACAAACAAAGAUGUUGUGUCCGCCGAAAACUAAAAAAUAAAUAUUAAAAAAAAUUUAUUAAAAAAAAAAGACAAAGUGGCAUUUGAUUCUGUUUUUUUUCUGUUGUAUAAUGUAGCUGCUGGUGUGUUUGGCAUUUACAACCUUCCGUUUCUGAAGAGAAAUUAUUUUUAAAUAUGUAUAGAUGACAUAUGAAUGUUAACCCAUAAAAAGGGAGGGUAAGGAGGCAAAGUAUAGAAGUUUAUUGGGUUAGACAAAGGAGAAUGAAGGGAAGGGAGAGCAAAUGGGAAUGGGAAAGACAGUAGAAUGAAUCAGCCAUAGCUUUCCUAUGCUCAUCCAUGAAUCCAUCAUGAGUGAAACUCCAUAUCAUGUACAACCAAAAUAAUGGGAUCCUAAUUAGAAUGGGUUGUACUCUAUGUAUGUAUAAUAUGGCAAAGUAUACUCAACUGUCAUGUAUAUCUAAAAACAACAAAUAAAAAAGAAAAAUAUUUAUAGAGAAAAUUAUACAGCUAUUCUCAAGUGAGAAUGUAAUUAUAUGAGCAGAGAAACAUGGGUAAGUAGCAGCAUUGCUUCUGACUAGAGAAGAUAUGACCAACAUCUGUAGCUACAUAAGUAAGGGAAUAUAUUUUUGGUAUGAGAUUGAUAGAUGAAGGUUGGGAACAGAGAGUUAAAGGUUUAGGGGGAAAAAAGGUUUGAGAAGUAUGUGACAAUCUAUUGCAGAGAUUUGGGCUCAUCCAUGUAUAUUGAUAAAGUUUGUUUGAAACCUGUUGUUUCUGUUUUCAGGUCUCAUCAGUGAUAAUAUAUGUUUGGUUUUCUUAGUCUUAUAAAUUUUAAGAUUACUUGUUCAGAAGCUACAGCCUACUGUACUAUUUUUGUUUAUGUGCUGAGGUAAAGACAUAAGAAACCAGUGUGUCUUAAACUUUCUAAGUUUGUAUUAUUGAAGUUAGAAGUCUGGGUUUAGAAAUACAUAAGUUGAAAUACAUGUUAACUGCAUAGUUUCUGCAACUUGGGAUUGGUUUUAUAUUGUAUUUACCCAAUAACACUUUUUGACUUUGGUGUACCUAUGAAGUUAAUGCUGCCUUGGUGGAAAGUUUAAAUAGACAGUGAUUUCUCUCUGGCUGGUUACUAUAUGUGCUGCAUACUAUUCAGUUAACAUAAAAUAGGGGGCUGAUUUGAUAUUUAGACAUAUAAAAUAUCUGGUUCAAUAAUGUUUUCUUUUAAUAAUUAAAGUUUUCUUUGGAGCUUAGGGCAGGAUUGUAUUUUGUGGAAUUGAGGUUGUUGCUUUUUUAUUUCUUUCAUUUAUUACCAUGGAUAGUUCUUUUUACUCCAUCCUCAUUUUUUUCCUCCCUGAUUGUUACCGCUGUUGACCGUGACGAGUCCUUGCUUCCCCAAUGUUGAAGAAUAACACCCGAGAAGCACGCUGAGGCAAGAUCAGAGUAGAAAUUAGAAGUUUAUUAAAGGACAGCAGAAAAGACUUCUCCGGGAGGAAGAAGGGGACCCAAGAGGUGGAAUCCGUGAUUAUCAUUGGUGAUUGAGAGCCUCUUUUCAAGCAGUUUUACAGCUAUUUCUUUUAUGUAUGCAGUUCAUUAAUUCUUUACCAAACUUCAAAUCAUGAGCAUUGCAAGCACCAUUUUGUACUCUGGGUACACAAUGAUCAUAAUGCUGAUUUUCUUCUUUUUCACAGAAUGGAGGAUGGAGUUGAGAGGAAAGCUGGAGGUUUUUCAGAUUAGAGAUGAAGAUACAGUGUCUAUGGAGAUGGACACACAGAUGGAGAAGAUGAAUUAAAAAGGAAUUGGAAUUUGCAAUUUUUUGUGACUGACAAGAUUUGGGUGCUAAAGGGAUAGGAUUUAAGGGACAGUUGGAUUUCCCCCCUGCUUCUUGUUUAUGACUACAGUCUUCAAUGUGGUGAAAGUGGAUUAAAGAGUUUCCCCCAAAGGCUUCCAGGCAUAUCAUCCUUGCCUUUGAAUAUCUGUAUCAACAUCAAUAGAGAUAUAUGUGUAUGCUCCUAAUUAUAUAAAUUUUAAUUAUAUAUAAAUGUAAAAAUCUCA
Marmota monax (woodchuck) is the source of this 4326-nucleotide long non-coding RNA. RefSeq lists it as uncharacterized. The record is from RefSeq and is a predicted model, not a curated record. NCBI's taxonomy places the organism in Eukaryota, Metazoa, Chordata, Mammalia, Rodentia, Sciuridae. The transcript is spliced from 10 exons.